Phyllostomus discolor (pale spear-nosed bat) is the source of this 185-nucleotide small nucleolar RNA. RefSeq annotates it as small nucleolar RNA SNORA23. The record is from RefSeq and is a predicted model, not a curated record. NCBI's taxonomy places the organism in Eukaryota, Metazoa, Chordata, Mammalia, Chiroptera, Phyllostomidae. The transcript has a single exon.
CAGCUAUUGUGUGCAUAAUAGUCAUCCAUCUGUGUCUGACAGCAGUGCCUCCGUGUUGCAUUCAGAUCUUGCUAUCCGCGCAAACACCAUGCAGCCAAAGAAUAAGUUCGGAUCAUAGUACCACUCCAGUGUCAUCUCACUGGACAUAAUUUACUACUGGCCAGUUCCCAAGUUCCCACACAGAA